CCGGGCGACGGUUGUCCCGGUUUAAGCGUGUAGGUGUGUGUUCCAGGUAAAUCCGGUUCACUUUAACACUGAGGCGUGACGACGAGGCACUACGGUGCUGAAGCAACAAAUGCCCUGCUUCCAGGAAAAGCCUCUAAGCAUCAGGUAACAUCAAAUCGUACCCCAAACCGACACAGGUGGUCAGGUAGAGAAUACCAAGGCGCUUGAGAGAACUCGGGUGAAGGAACUAGGCAAAAUGGUGCCGUAACUUCGGGAGAAGGCACGCUGACAUGUAGGUGAAGUGAUUUACUCAUGGAGCUGAAGUCAGUCGAAGAUACCAGCUGGCUGCAACUGUUUAUUAAAAACACAGCACUGUGCAAACACGAAAGUGGACGUAUACGGUGUGACGCCUGCCCGGUGCCGGAAGGUUAAUUGAUGGGGUCAGCGCAAGCGAAGCUCCUGAUCGAAGCCCCGGUAAACGGCGGCCGUAACUAUAACGGUCCUAAGGUAGCGAAAUUCCUUGUCGGGUAAGUUCCGACCUGCACGAAUGGCGUAAUGAUGGCCAGGCUGUCUCCACCCGAGACUCAGUGAAAUUGAACUCGCUGUGAAGAUGCAGUGUACCCGCGGCAAGACGGAAAGACCCCGUGAACCUUUACUAUAGCUUGACACUGAACAUUGAGCCUUGAUGUGUAGGAUAGGUGGGAGGCUUUGAAGUGUGGACGCCAGUCUGCAUGGAGCCGACCUUGAAAUACCACCCUUUAAUGUUUGAUGUUCUAACGUGGACCCGUGAUCCGGGUUGCGGACAGUGUCUGGUGGGUAGUUUGACUGGGGCGGUCUCCUCCUAAAGAGUAACGGAGGAGCACGAAGGUUGGCUAAUCCUGGUCGGACAUCAGGAGGUUAGUGCAAUGGCAUAAGCCAGCUUGACUGCGAGCGUGACGGCGCGAGCAGGUGCGAAAGCAGGUCAUAGUGAUCCGGUGGUUCUGAAUGGAAGGGCCAUCGCUCAACGGAUAAAAGGUACUCCGGGGAUAACAGGCUGAUACCGCCCAAGAGUUCAUAUCGACGGCGGUGUUUGGCACCUCGAUGUCGGCUCAUCACAUCCUGGGGCUGAAGUAGGUCCCAAGGGUAUGGCUGUUCGCCAUUUAAAGUGGUACGCGAGCUGGGUUUAGAACGUCGUGAGACAGUUCGGUCCCUAUCUGCCGUGGGCGCUGGAGAACUGAGGGGGGCUGCUCCUAGUACGAGAGGACCGGAGUGGACGCAUCACUGGUGUUCGGGUUGUCAUGCCAAUGGCACUGCCCGGUAGCUAAAUGCGGAAGAGAUAAGUGCUGAAAGCAUCUAAGCACGAAACUUGCCCCGA
This 1333-nucleotide ribosomal RNA is filed under the name Salmonella enterica. Its description in RNAcentral is "partial 23S ribosomal RNA". It matches the Rfam family "Bacterial large subunit ribosomal RNA", at positions 1491 to 2802 of the family's 2925-position model. Lineage: Bacteria; Pseudomonadati; Pseudomonadota; Gammaproteobacteria; Enterobacterales; Enterobacteriaceae. The record is from RNAcentral.